Molecule: long non-coding RNA, 1244 nt
Filed under: Numida meleagris (helmeted guineafowl)
Lineage: Eukaryota; Metazoa; Chordata; Aves; Galliformes; Numididae
Description: lncRNA (ENSNMEG00000006543.1)
Source: RNAcentral
AAAAAAAAAUAAAUGGAAAAAACAACAACAACAAAAAUACAAAUGUGAAGAAGGUCUGCCAGCUCCUAUGCUUUGGUUUAAAGAGCAGUGUUCCAACAGGAGUCUACAAAAAAUUCCUCCUUGGGCUCGUGUUGUGAUGUUGAGCUGUGUCUGACCUCCCCAAGGACCUGAAACCUGAAGCAGCACAUGGAAUAGCAUCUAGUUACUUUAGUAGUUACGAAGUGUGUUAACACGCUUGGCCGCGUUAUUCAAUUGUAGGCAUUUAAUUGUUCUUUAAUUUCUAAUUAUCUCUUGGCUCUUUUUGUUAUUUUCAGAGUGUUUGCCGAAGAAUAUCCCACGUGUUCUUGAUAGUGACUCUGAAGGAAGUGAAUUCUCUGAUAUCUCUGCCUAUGAAGAUGGUGUCAGUCUGCACACGGACACUGACGUGGAAGACUUGUGUGGUGACAUCUCCAGUAUGCUUGAGGAUGUAACUUUCCCUCGGCAGCAAGCUGCUUCGACGUAUGAGGUGGAGGACUGGGAUAAAGAGUUGGAGGAGUCUGAAUGUAAUCCUUAUGAUUGUUCUGCUGAAAGUCUUGUUCAACUCUGCAUUUCUGAAGAAGCAUCUAGUAACGUAUACUAGUGGAUGGCACCAGGAUGAAAAGUGGAGUUUAACCUAGCAAGGAGGAAGUGGAGAAGAGUCCCCUGUUAAGCAUAUCAGAUGAUCUGAACUCAGAAGCCGUUAUAGUAAAUGGAGCAGGAAUUUGUUGCCAUGUUUGUAGUUGGGCAGUACACUUCAAAGCUUGGAAAGUGUCCCAUGUUCCUUUUCCCCCUGUGAGGGGAGGAUGUUUGCCUUCUUAUAAGGGAUGCCUGGGAUAAAGUUUCAAGCAGGAGAAUUAGAAGUUCUCUGUUCAGUUCCUUGUUUUGCCGUGUAGCUUUGUGCAUAUAGGACGUACCUUUGCAGUUCUUUCCCACUGGACUCACUGCUGGAGUUGCGACAAAAUUUCCAUCUCGUGCAGUAGAGUUGUGAGUGACCUGAUUGCUAUUCAUGGGCAGUUUGUGCUAUAGAAUAGUGAAACAAACAUUAUUAUUAAAUACAUUUCAAAUGAAGAGGCAAUGAGCAGAGUAGUUUUCCAAAAUUAGGACGACAAAGUAUUUGGGCUGAUGAAGUUGUGUAACAUCAAAGCCUGCAGCAGUAUCAUGUCUGACCUGGAGAAAUGUGUGUUUUGAGGGUAUCUGUCUGAAUAAAUGGAAUCUUCCAGUAAACA